UCCAUUUGUUUCUUUAAGAAGAUGUGCAGUAUGCUGUUGUAUCUCAGUUCUCAUAUACUGUAAUAUAUAUUAACAGAAAGAAUCAUGUUGUAUGCUUCAGAUUUAUACUGAAAGUGUGUCCCUAUUUUGAUGCAAUUCUUCUUUUUUACAUACUAGGAAACGUUCUGUAGCAAAAAACACGCUCACUGAGCAUGUCGUUAUGGAUUACGUAAUGAAGCGUAGAAAAUGAAGAGGAUAAUCAAGUCGAGAGCCACCGGCGAUGAUGUGUAGUUGCUGGAUGAGCUUCUCAUCCACGCCUUGGCUGCAAACCGUGUCUGCAGGUGCAGGUAAUGACUUCAUAGAUUUCUAUUUUAUACAGGGUGCAUACUGGACUAGAGGUUUGAUUAUUAGGAUGAUUUCUAAUGCGUGAUGUCCCACGCAAGCACCUUGCUGAAUUUCAGGUUUUUUUAUUUGUUGCAUCAAUGGUAUCUUUCCAACAGAACAUUUACUACAAUGCUUCUAUUCAUAUAUAUUUAUGUGCUCAAAUUUAUUGCCACCAUCAUUUUGUAUGCAGCACUUGAACAACAUAUAUCUAUUUUUUGUGUUCGGGAGCCUUCCUAUAUACUAUUGUCAACUAACGUCCAUUCCACUUAAGGGAUAUUUGAGGGGAUAUGUGUAACAAAAUGUUACUAUUACAAGAAAUAAACUCCCAUUUCAGUUAAGUGAGAUUCUGAGGGAUGUGUGUAACCAUGUGCUUCUAUUGCGAGAAAAUGAUUCUCAGUAUUUGAUCAUCAUAUGGAUGCACUUCUAUAUGAUGCACUUCUAUUUGAUCAACAUAAUUUGGGAGACAUGGGAUCAUAUGAUUUCUUGAAGCGGACUAAGCUAAGAGAGGAUUACUGAUGCUUACAUGUAAUACUUUAGAAUUGAACUGCCAAUGCCCAUUUAGGAAAAUGAAUUUAAUGCCCAUUCCAAGGGUCUUUUCCCGGGAUAAUGUGCAACCAAGUGCUAUUACAAAAAGAAAGUUAGUAUUUGAUACAUAUAAGUCUCUCAGUAUAUUAACUAUGUUGUUCAUUUUACAUUUAUAUAAAUGGCCGGCAUUUUUAACCCUUAUAUUCCUGUUAGGAAAUAUAUGAUGCAGAGGAUCUCACCUAAAUAAUUAUGGAUUUAAGCUAAGCCAUAAAUAUAAUAAUGUUUGGCUCACAUCUGGUGGUAGGACUUCCUCAUAGAAGGAUAAGCAGAGAUAUGUAUUAUUUGCAUAUGUGUCUAUCAUUUGAACCCAUUUUGAGCUAUUUGGUUAAACAUAAGCAUUUGUAAUACAAUCAAAAGACAGGCACAAGAUAACUAUGAAUCUCAGACCAUGGAAAUAUUAAUCCACUAUCUAAUGUCCAACUAAUUGAAACAAUAUUAAGUGCACUACAAUCAAGUUUCAUAACACAAUUCUCUAUUUCUCACAUAAAAAAUGAAACAAUACAAAGAGCUGCCAAUGAUUUAUACUCUUUUAGGAAAAAUUACUAGCCCGUGCAGUCGCACAGGUUGUUGACUAGUCAUGCUUAAAGAUCAUGAAUCUUACCAUCUUACCUUCUCGUGCUUGAAGUGUUCUCAGUCAGGACAAGCAAGCCCAGUGACUCCCACUACGGCUCAUGGCGCUUCGACCUCCUUGCAACAAUGAUCACUCGAGGUAGUUGUCUAUGCUUGUGCAUUGUUGAUGCUUGCGUCUUGUCUUUGUGCUUCUCAACUUACAACUUGUGCAUUGUUGAUAGUAGAGCCCACAAGUGUUGAUGCUUAUAUUGUUCAUACUUCUUAGCUUCAAUUUGAACCUUAUAUGUUGAUGCUUGUUGACUCUUGUGCCUUAUCGAUCAUUUGAAAAUUAACUUUGAAAACUCAUGCGUUUGGUAAUGGACUUAUAGGUUUGCAUCGUGGAUGCCGUUGACGGUGGGCAUACAUGCUACGGUGGAGCACAUUGCAUGUUUGAGGUUCAUGCUUGGUGUGAACUUGGAACUCAUGCUUUUGUUUGUGAACCUUGUUGGAUAUGUACCUGUGUGGACUUUGGACUCAUGGUCAAUUUGUAUGGUUGUCAAGUUGUACUAAAUUGUUGUUGUGAACCUUCGUUGGUUAUAUAUUACUUGUUG
RNAcentral lists this long non-coding RNA (2108 nucleotides) under Triticum aestivum (bread wheat). RNAcentral describes it as "long non-coding RNA (TAES_LNC017062)". The record is from RNAcentral. Lineage: Eukaryota; Viridiplantae; Streptophyta; Magnoliopsida; Poales; Poaceae.